AUAAUGACUAUGAACGGAAGAGUAGUUAUAGCGCGAUAGUAACAGCGAGCUGGGAAUGGUGUGAGCCAGUACUAUCGUAUAUAAUGAAAAUCAUCCGUGAGUUGCGGGCUGAAUUUUUUAGUAAGCUACGCCGGGUUCUCUUCGGAGAAAAUUGCCGCCCGUUACUGCGGCGAGGUAUCGAGGUUAAACUCUGUACCUAUGAGCGGCUAUGGGUGAAAUCCAUAGUAAUUUGGGUGGUAUCGCGGAUUAACCUCCGUCCCUAUG
RNAcentral lists this non-coding RNA (264 nucleotides) under Sporomusa malonica. RNAcentral describes it as "T-box sequence". It matches the Rfam family "T-box leader". From Rfam's summary of the family: Uncharged tRNA acts as the effector for transcription antitermination of genes in the T-box leader family. T-boxes are found upstream of many aminoacyl-tRNA synthetase genes and some amino acid biosynthetic genes usually in Gram-positive bacteria. Lineage: Bacteria; Bacillati; Bacillota; Negativicutes; Selenomonadales; Sporomusaceae. The record is from RNAcentral.